This 128-nucleotide small nuclear RNA is filed under the name Cervus elaphus hippelaphus. RNAcentral's name for it is "U2 spliceosomal RNA". It matches the Rfam family "U2 spliceosomal RNA". Rfam says of the family: U2 is a small nuclear RNA (snRNA) component of the spliceosome (involved in pre-mRNA splicing). Complementary binding between U2 snRNA (in an area lying towards the 5' end but 3' to hairpin I) and the branchpoint sequence (BPS) of the intron results the bulging out of an unpaired adenosine, on the BPS, which initiates a nucleophilic attack at the intronic 5' splice site, thus starting the first of two transesterification reactions that mediate splicing. Lineage: Eukaryota; Metazoa; Chordata; Mammalia; Artiodactyla; Cervidae. RNAcentral also lists the same sequence under 1 other name. The record is from Rfam by way of RNAcentral.
AUCGCUUCUCGGCCUUUUGGCUAAGAUCAAGUGUAGACUCCCCGUGAAUGAUUAAUGUUAUCUUUUCCUGGCUUAUGAAUAAAAGCCCUUUUCCUUUAGUGUCCAUUCAAACAAUGGAGAAACUCUUC